This 116-nucleotide small nucleolar RNA is filed under the name Echinops telfairi (small Madagascar hedgehog). RNAcentral's name for it is "Small nucleolar RNA SNORA44 (ENSETEG00000026628.1)". It matches the Rfam family "Small nucleolar RNA SNORA44". Rfam says of the family: ACA44 is a member of the H/ACA class of snoRNA that guide the sites of modification of uridines to pseudouridines. The record is from RNAcentral. Lineage: Eukaryota; Metazoa; Chordata; Mammalia; Afrosoricida; Tenrecidae.
CAGUACUAUUCACAAAGGUCACCUGAUCUCCAAGUGCAAGCAAAAGCAAUAUGGAGAGAUUCUGACUGCUCAGGUUAGCAAAGUCUCUGCAGCUGCCACUCGCCUUUCCUAUAACC